RNAcentral lists this ribosomal RNA (253 nucleotides) under uncultured microorganism. Its description in RNAcentral is "partial 16S ribosomal RNA". It matches the Rfam family "Bacterial small subunit ribosomal RNA", at positions 524 to 776 of the family's 1533-position model. The record is from RNAcentral.
UACGGAGGGUGCGAGCGUUAUUCGGAAUUACUGGGCGUAAAGGGCGCGUAGGCGGCCGCGCAAGUCUGGUGUGAAAGCCCAGGGCUUAACCCUGGAAGGGCACUGGAAACUGUGCGGCUUGAGUGCCGGAGAGGAGGGGGGAAUUCCCGGUGUAGCGGUGAAAUGCGUAGAUAUCGGGAGGAAUACCGGUGGCGAAGGCGCCCCUCUGGACGGUAACUGACGCUGAGGCGCGAAAGCGUGGGGAGCAAACAGG